ACUACCUGAGAGCCCCGAGCAUUUCGGAGAUUACCUGAUAAUUUCAUUUGGAUUUUUUUUUUUUAAUGAGGCUCAAAUUAGUUGCAAAUCAAAAGUCUAGCUUGUCCCAGCAGUGUACAGAGCCUUUACAGGGAAUUCAGCUCUCCUUCUGUUACUCCAGCAAGCUGAGAGAAUUGAGUCAUAAAUGUGACAAAGAACUUGCCCAAAGUUAUGGAAUUAGACACCAAACCCAGCCUUGCCUUGGCUCUUGAGCCUAGAGCCCUCGGUUUAAUGCUAGUGCCCGUGACUGAAAGCUAAGAAAGGGACCUGCGGGAUGGCUCAGCGGUUAAAGCACUUGCCAGGCAAUCUUGAGGACUUCAGUUUGGAUCUCUAGACACAACGCUUGACUGCCAGGGUUUCAUAUAGCCCAAAUUGGCAGCUCUGCAUGUAGCUGAAGGAGAGAGGAGCAGAAAUCCUACAGGGAGAUUUGCACCCCCUACCCCACCUUCCAGAGUUGUGGUCUGACCACCACACAGCACUCCUUUCAAGCAGGGACUUCGGGAAACAUCUGAUCCAUUUGCUCCGUUGCCUUUGAUCGUAGGCUUGGCUGAGGUGUGGAAGAACGGAUUUGAACACCAGCGCCAUGGAAUAUACAGCCAUCUUUUCACCCUGGGCUGAGGCA
This 661-nucleotide long non-coding RNA is filed under the name Mus pahari (shrew mouse). Its description in RNAcentral is "RIKEN cDNA 2810432F15 gene (MGP_PahariEiJ_G0003199.1)". The record is from RNAcentral. Lineage: Eukaryota; Metazoa; Chordata; Mammalia; Rodentia; Muridae.